CCUACGGGUGGCAGCAGUGAGGAAUAUUGGUCAAUGGACGAGAGUCUGAACCAGCCAAGCAGCGUGAAGGAUGACUGCCCUAUGGGUUGUAAACUUCUUUUAUAUGGGAAUAAAAUGUUCCACGUGUGGGAUUUUGUAUGUACCAUAUGAAUACGGAUCGGCUAACUCCGUGCCAGUAGCCGCGGUAAUACGGAGGAUCCGAGCGUUAGCCGGAUUUAGUGGGGUUAAAGGGAGCGUAGGUGGAAUGGUAAGUCAGGUGUGAAAGUUUGCGGCUCAACCGUAAGAUUGCAGUUGAAACUGGCAGUCUUGAGUGCGGUAGAGGUAGGCGGAAUUCGUGGUGUAGCGGUGAAAUGCUUAGAUAUCACGAAGAACUCCGAUUGCGAAGGCAGCUCACUGGACUGCAACUGACGCUGAGGCUCGAAAGUGUGGGGAUCGAACAGGAUUAGAUACCCGUGUAGUC
This 460-nucleotide ribosomal RNA is filed under the name uncultured bacterium. RNAcentral describes it as "partial 16S ribosomal RNA". It matches the Rfam family "Bacterial small subunit ribosomal RNA", at positions 338 to 795 of the family's 1533-position model. The record is from RNAcentral.